This 31-nucleotide non-coding RNA is filed under the name Homo sapiens (human). The record is from RNAcentral. Lineage: Eukaryota; Metazoa; Chordata; Mammalia; Primates; Hominidae.
UGAAUCUGGAGGUGACCCAAGCAUUGAAUUC